CAAGUCGUUUACCGUGAAAAAAUUAGAGUGUUCAAAGCAGGCAGAUCCAAUUCUCUGCCACCGAAUACAUUAGCAUGGGAUAAUGGAAUAGGACCCUGUCCUCCUAUUUUCAGUUGGUUUUGACACGCGAGGACCAGGGUAAUGAUUAAUAGGGAUAGUUGGGGGCAUUAAUAUUUAAUUGUCAGAGGUGAAAUUCUUGGAUUUAUGAAAGAUUAACUUCUGCGAAAGCAUCUGCCAAGGAUGUUUUCAUUAAUCAAGAACGAAAGUUAGGGGAUCGAAGACGAUCAGAUACCGUCGUAGUCUUAACCAUAAACGAUGCCGACCAGCGAUUAGGAGACGUUGAAUACAAAACACCACCAUUGGUGCGGUCGUCCCUUGGCAUUUGGUCGUGGCGCGAGUCCACGGCCAGGUGCGGGG
RNAcentral lists this ribosomal RNA (417 nucleotides) under Acanthamoeba sp. AR15. RNAcentral describes it as "bacterial SSU rRNA". It matches the Rfam family "Eukaryotic small subunit ribosomal RNA", at positions 744 to 1118 of the family's 1831-position model. Lineage: Eukaryota; Discosea; Longamoebia; Acanthamoebidae. The record is from RNAcentral.